Long non-coding RNA from Zingiber officinale, 4221 nucleotides. RefSeq lists it as uncharacterized. Lineage: Eukaryota; Viridiplantae; Streptophyta; Magnoliopsida; Zingiberales; Zingiberaceae. The record is from RefSeq and is a predicted model, not a curated record. The transcript is spliced from 3 exons.
AAGUACUUGUUUAACUUAUUGUUCUUGUUUCUUCUUUAAAUUUUGAUUCCUUUUCUAUUAUACAUGUUAGUUCAACACCAUAUCUUUUAUGGUGUUUGCUUUUUUUUUUUGGUGUGUUUAUGCAACCCAAUAGAUGUUUCUAAUACUUCUUUAAUAGCCCUUGUCCUUGUGCUCUCCAACUUCAUAGACUAUAGGAUAACUUUUUUUUGUUGCAUCUUUGAACUACUUUAAAUGUUGAGCUAGUUGCUAAAUUCAAGUAUCUUAACAACACAUUUUUCUAUCUAGCCUCACCUUUUACAUAGCAUCAUUUUGGGUAGAAGCAUAGAUAAUGAAAUUGGGGGAAAAACACAUGCCUAUGGAAAACAUCAUUCAUAUUGAUCAUGAGGUCUUGGGGUCGAAACUCGGCGUGACCGAGUAUAACCUCCCCCAUGUCUUGGCCAUUUGCACUAAUGGCUAGUAGCCACCCGUGAUUUACCUCCUCUGUGUUGGCCUAGGGACGGAUUGGCGGGGGUGCUGGGGACGAGCGAAUCGCCUUUUGCCACAUAGAAGUCCACACUUAAACAAUUGAAUCAGAGUAAAAAAUAAAACUUGAUGAUGAAUCAUAUUAUCUCCAAUGAAAGAUGGAGAUAAUAACAAUCUUUAUAAACAAUUCUACUUAGAUGUUCAUCUAUGGCUAUUCAUAAUCAUUAAGUGUAGGUUGAGGAAUUAAAAAUAUUCUGAUAAUGUAUGAAUUUGAUCAUUGGAGUCAAAAUUUAAUUAAUAUAAAUUAAAAAAUAGAUUGUUAUAAAAAAUAAUGUCAUUUUGAUUUUACUACAAUGUUUUUUUAUUUUAACAAUUAUUUCAAUAUUACAGACAUAUGAAUAUGUAUACCUAAGUUUUUAUUGGGGAGUAGCACAAUGUUUUGGAGUUGAGUUUUAAUAAUAAUUGUAAGAACCUUAGCACGAAUACAAUGGAUCAUUAUUUGAAUAAAUAUGUUUAUAUAGGUAGAAUAUGGUUUUUAUCUCUUUUUAAGGAUUCAAAAAUAUUUAGGGCUAAAUAGCCUUUAGGAAGGUUUAAUUUGUUCAAUCAGAUUGGAUGAUUUUGCCGCCCUAUAAGAAUUUCGUACCUAAGCAUGCUAGUUGUGGAAUAAUCUAGAAUAGUGAAUCUUUCACUUUAUAGUUAAAUCUCACCAUGCAACAAAUUUCUGAAAUAUAGGACCUUGAUGUUGGUAAGACCACACCUUUUGGAUGGUUAGGUUUUUCACAAUAAGUUCAUAAUUAAGCACCCUUGUUUUGAAACAAUUAGGGAUGUGUGAUCUGUUGGAAAGCUCGUCACUGGUACUAUUUUUGUUCAAUUGAGCAUGUUGUGUCUUAUAAUGUGCUUAUCUUUGAAGUUGUUUAUGCAUUACUUUGUUUUAGACGUCUAUUUGUCUUAUUUAUUGUAAUUUUUACAAAUAGUGGUUGUUGCCAUGUGCAAGUAAAAUUAGACAAAAGUCUCACUAUAAGUUUUUCAUUCCUUCUGUUUCUUCAUUUAACUAAUUUUGUUACUACCCAUUUGUGUUUUUUUUCAUAGUCUCAUUAUUUCAAUUUUUUAUACUCAUAAUUGACUUAUGUCGAAUUGUUGUUGUUGUUCUAAUAUUUUCUUGGCUUUGUAAAUGUUGGCUAGCUAACCAUUGUAUGCUAUUUUUGUUUCCUCAUAGUUGUUAGCCUAGCAUUAUGGUUAUCCACACCCAUAGUCGUUAGUUGGGCUUGAGGGUUGAGUGUUAGAUAUUAUUGCCUCGCCUAGGUUUGCUUCAAAUAUCUUUUUCUUAACCUUCUUGAUAUUGUUUUCAAGCGAAAUAACUCUAUCGUGUUUACAAUCAACCCUACCAUUAUUAUGAAAUAGAACUUAAACUUGAUUUCUCAAGAAUCUCUAGCUUUAAACUUUGUCAUAUAAAGUAUGCAAAGAAUAAAACUGUAAUUGAUGUAUCAACCUUAAUAGUUGCGUGCCAAUACUCUCCUAUAGCUCUUUAAUCAUUGAGAAACUCAAGUAAAGCUCAUGUUCGCAAUAACAGAUGGUAUUUCUCUCUUUUCAAGUGAUCAUAAUUCAAAGUCUUGGAAUCUUAUUGAAUUCUGUAGAGUUGAAACAGAAUUCUGAAAUUGGAAUGCAUGAAUUGCUUACACUUCAUUGAAUCUGAUCUCUGGAAUUUUUAAACCUUCGGCAGCUACAAUUCCUUGAAUUCUUGCUGAAUUUGAUUUCUGAAUUAUUCAUAUGCAGAAGUUUUGGCACACUGCAGCUGCAAGCUAGUACACAGGAAUUUCAAAAUUUAGCAAAGCUCAAAACACUAGGAUAGCAUGAGCCUCUAUGUACUCGAACAACUGGUGCACAUACAUAGAGAUUAUUGCAGAAUAUCAUGUCUCACUCAAUGAAGUUGUUUCUAAUGAAUCAAAUGCAAAGAGUGUACAGGGUGAAAGUUUUGUGCAUAAGAUGGAGCAAUUUUCUAAUUGUUUGGGGAAGUAUUUGUAAGUUGUUCUUUUUGCUUUCGGGAUAUGUUUAUAUUUGUUAUUGAUAUCUCAUAAUUUUUUAUGAUUUAUUUGUUAUUCUUGCAUAGUAAAAAUAUAGAUAGAUGACUUAUUACAAUGAAGAUUUAGCAAAAGAUGUUCUCAUGUCAUCAUCCCUAUUUAAAACAUAGCUUGUUCAAUUAGUGGAGUUUUUGCUGAACUCAAUUUCUGAAUGUCUGAAACUCCUUUGAAACAAGUGCUCAUCUGAAUAUGAAGUAGGCAACUGUCCGGAAACUGAACUUUGGAUUCCCUGAUUUCAGAAAUAUUUGCUCUAGAGUCCAUGUGCCUAUUUUUAUUGCAUUUUCUGACCAAAGACAACUUGAAUUCAAGCUCCUGCCAACCCAUUGCUGAGUGGCAUGCUUUCUUCUGCAAAAUUACAUAGGAUUACAGCCUUCAAUUCCUGUCGAAUCAAAAUUCUGAAAUUGAAAUUUGAAGCAACAAAAGUUUAGACAUUAGUUUCAUUUCUGAAUUUUUUUUUGGACAUGGAUUGUGAAUAUGCUUUCCGACUCUCUGAAAUGAAGGAUAUCCUUAAACUUGGAUCCAGAUCUGAGUUCUGAAAUCCUGAAACUAUUUGGCAGCUCAAUUUAUUAAAUACCUGCUAAACUUAGCUGAGUUCUGAAUUCUGCUAUUGGACUUGCCAAGCUCUUGAGGUAGUUUCUUAUCAGUAAGUUCUGAAAGAAACACUCAAUAUUCCAUUAUCCUAUGGUGGGGUUUUUCACCCAAGCCGUGAUUCAAAAUCAGGAAAAGUCCUGGCAGCCGAUUUCUGAAACUAAAUCCAGAAGGGAAAAAUCAUGCUACUGCUGAGGAACAAGGGUUCUGUGUGCCAACUUUGAGUGAAGUUCCUUACAAGCAAUAAAUUAGAAUUAAGCUCCUACCUUUCUAGUGUCAAUUGAGGCUACUUUCCCUCUAAAUCUUCCGUGAUCAAGAAACCACAGCUCCCUUAAAUCUGAUUCUUGAAACAGGGCAGGAAUUGAGGAAUUUAAUGUAAUAUGUUAUGGAGGAGCUAAAUGCCAUGGUCUCAUGUAACAAUUAAUGUUCAAGGUUUAGCAACACCAGAUCAAAAAUGUUGAAUUCUGAAUAGCAGAAAAUUUGACAGGGCUUGGACAAAAACAAGGUGUUAGUUCUUAUUUCAGCAGGGAAAUCCAUGAUUAAAGAUUACAGGAAAAGAAGAAUACUGCAAUUCUGAUUAGUGAUGACCUUAAAAGAAGUUUUUAUCCUUCAUUUUCCAUUUCGUAUUAUGUUCUCCCCAAGCUCCUCGAGAAAUUAUCAGAGUCAGAUUCCUGAAACUCAUCAAAAGGAACUGAUUUCUGAGUUUCAGAAAUCUGGAGAAGAUGGUUACUGCCCUUCGAACUGUGAUGCUGCUGUGAAACCAAAUUUUGGUUACCUUACCAACUAUAAAGAUGAGUGUAUCUUUCCAACUAAGCGAGGGAAUAGUGCCAUUUUAACUGAAUUGAAGGAAUCUGAAUUCUGAAACUCUCAAAAUUCUCUGGAAUUUGUUUUCGGAAACCACUGCAGGGCAGUACUCUGAUUCUGGCAUUCAAUUUUAACUAGCUAAAAUUGUGUUGGUUCUCCAUCUGUGUAACAUGAAGAGAAGGAUGAGUAUUCUCUGCUAAGAAGGAAAGAAAAGAAGAGAGGAAAUAUGUUAGUUAGAGCCCUAGAGUCAAUCAUUUGAUGAUUAUUGUAUGGACUCAUUGUAUCAUAU